UGGGGAAUUUUGGACAAUGGGCGAAAGCCUGAUCCAGCAAUGCCGCGUGUGUGAAGAAGGCCUUCGGGUUGUAAAGCACUUUUGUCCGGAAAGAAAUCCUUGGCUCUAAUACAGUCGGGGGAUGACGGUACCGGAAGAAUAAGCACCGGCUAACUACGUGCCAGCAGCCGCGGUAAUACGUAGGGUGCAAGCGUUAAUCGGAAUUACUGGGCGUAAAGCGUGCGCAGGCGGUUUGCUAAGACCGAUGUGAAAUCCCCGGGCUCAACCUGGGAACUGCAUUGGUGACUGGCAGGCUAGAGUAUGGCAGAGGGGGGUAGAAUUCCACGUGUAGCAGUGAAAUGCGUAGAGAUGUGGAGGAAUACCGAUGGCGAAGGCAGCCCCCUGGGCCAAUACUGACGCUCAUGCACGAAAGCGUGGGGAGCAAACAGGAUUAGAUACCCUGGUAGUCCACGCCCUAAACGAUGUCAACUAGUUGUUGGGGAUUCAUUUCCUUAGUAACGUAGCUAACGCGUGAAGUUGAUCCGCCUGGGGAGUACGGUCGCAAGAUUAAAACUCAAAUGAAUUGACGGGGUCAUAGCUGUUUCCU
This 586-nucleotide ribosomal RNA is filed under the name uncultured bacterium. RNAcentral describes it as "partial 16S ribosomal RNA". It matches the Rfam family "Bacterial small subunit ribosomal RNA", at positions 355 to 1375 of the family's 1533-position model. The record is from RNAcentral.